This 290-nucleotide unclassified non-coding RNA is filed under the name uncultured Ascomycota. Its description in RNAcentral is "sequence contains ITS1". The stretch from base 1 to 105 matches the Rfam family "5.8S ribosomal RNA", at positions 50 to 154 of the family's 154-position model. The record is from RNAcentral. Lineage: Eukaryota; Fungi; Ascomycota.
GAAAUGCGAUAAGUAAUGUGAAUUGCAGAAUUCAGUGAAUCAUCGAAUCUUUGAACGCACAUUGCACCUGGUGGUAUUCCACUGGGUAUGCCUGUUCGAGCGUCAUUUCAACCAUCAAGCUCUGCUUGGUAUUGGGUGCCACCGGCAUGGUGCGCCUUAAAGUCAAUGGCAGUGCCAUCUGGCUUCAAGCGUAGUAAUACUUCUCGCUCUGGAGGCCCAGGUGUUUACUUGCCAAAACCCCCAUACUUAAGGUUGACCUCGGAUCAGGUAGGGAUACCCGCUGAACUUAA